This is a long non-coding RNA of Scylla paramamosain (green mud crab), 1821 nucleotides long. RefSeq lists it as uncharacterized. NCBI's taxonomy places the organism in Eukaryota, Metazoa, Arthropoda, Malacostraca, Decapoda, Portunidae. The record is from RefSeq and is a predicted model, not a curated record. The transcript has 4 exons.
UGAAGAUCAAGAUCGUAAUCCCGCCGGUCCGAUGUAAACAAACAAUCCUCGUGCUUGGUUUAAGGUCUCGCCUCAGGGUCCUCUUCCAGAAAACAGGACUCUGGUGUUGAGGAAGGCAAAUAGCAUUCACAACCUGUUUCCUUUGUACUAUAAAGUCACUCAAGGAGACACUCUCCUUACUCAGUACCCAUUCCACAAUGUUCCACCCUGUCCACAUUGCCCAGGCUGUGAAGAUAUUUUGAAUUACAUAACCUGAGAGGAUUACUACAAUGUUAAGGGCACUGAGCAGAGUGAUCCUACAGCCUAAGAAAGCUGGGCUAGUAAAAUGUAGAACUGAAGUCCAGAUCUGUUUACGUGCCUUUCCUGAAAGGAGUCUGUGCCAGUCCUUUUAUUCUGUCAUUCCACAAAAGAAUGCUACAGAGGAAAGUCUAUUCAGUAAAAAGCUUUUGGAGUAUAUAAGAGGCAAUGCUGAGUAUGCUGCAUCUGUCAAAUCCUUGCCUGAUCAGUCUAACUUCAGUAGCACUGUGAAUGCUUUAAAAGGACAUCAGCUGCAUCUUGUAAUAGCACAUAGUUCAGAAUUAAAACCAAAUUUUAUUCUUGAGUUGUUCACUCAUUAUGCCUCAGAGAAGCAGAAUAUAACACAAGAUAUAAUCAGUAAAAAAGGUCUUAUGUCCAUGGUCAAGGAAAGAGUUUUUCAAGCCAUCCCACUCAUGACUCAAAAUGAACUUAGGAAAUUUGCUGUAAUUAUAAGAAAUUUAAAGUUUGAGAGAAGCAGAUAUUUAAUUGACAUUGCAGGAAGAAUUGUCCAGGAGUGCGGUCAGAGAGCUGCAGAGGUUGCCCUUGAGCAGUGUCUACAUUUUUUUGAUAUAAUGUUAAUCUUACAUGGAAACAAUAUUUACAGAAAGAAACAGUUUGAUAUAUUCAUAUCACUCUUUGAAUAUCAUACAGCAACAGCAACACCUCAUCAGCUUGUACAAAUUCUUCACUAUAUUAGUUUUGCAAAGAAAAAUAGACUUAGCAGAGAAUAUGUUCAUGUUCUCAUUACAAAGUUGGAAGAAGUUCUUGAGCAUUUAUCCUUUGUAGAUUAUGGCAUAGCAUUGAAUGGGAUGUUCAAAUGCAAUGUUAAAUUGGAUAAAUCAUCAUCACUCAUAAAGAAAACAGCAAAGUGGUUACAAGUGAAAGCUGAGCAAUCAGAAAGACUAAGUGAUCUUGAGUCAUUUGCUUUUGUUGCAAUGGUGAAAGUUAUAAGAGCUGCAAAAUAUUAUGAUAAGGACCUUUUAUCAUCAAUUGGGACUUUCAUAAUGAAAUCUACUGUAGACACUCUUCAGCCUGAGGUAAUUGCACAUACAUUAGCUCUAUAUGCAAACAGCCAAGUGUAUGAUUUAGAAAUUUUUACAAAAGUGGAGUCUUUAGUACUGCAGCACUUGACUAACCCUACGCAAACAAUUCGUGUAAAGGAUAUUAGUAGAAUUCUGUGGAGUUUCAGUCAUGUAGGGCAUAAAGGAAGUGACUGCUUUUUGGACAUUAUAGCAAAUGUUCUUAUAAGAUCUGUUCACAUGGGUAAAUUAGAGUUUUAUCCAGAGCAUCUCUCAGGUUCUCUCUUUUCUAUGGCUGUGCUGGGCUACUAUCCCAAGGAACUUAUUAAAGAAGCCUUUCAGCCACAGAAAGUUGAGAAGCUAAAAGGUUACCAAAGAAGCAAGCAGCUGUCCAGACUUAUGGCAUUACAUCAAGCUGUUAAAAUAGAGGUUCCUGAGGUUAAUGUAGCUAUUCCUGAAACACACAUGAAUGAUCUGCCCAAGAGGACUUUGUCAGAUGAGAUGC